CUACGGGCCGCACCAGUGGGGAAUAUUGCACAAUGGGCGCAAGCCUGAUGCAGCCAUGCCGCGUGUAUGAAGAAGGCCUUCGGGUUGUAAAGUACUUUCAGCGGGGAGGAAGGGAGUAAAGUUAAUACCUUUGCUCAUUGACGUUACCCGCAGAAGAAGCACCGGCUAACUCCGUGCCAGCAGCCGCGGUAAUACGGAGGGUGCAAGCGUUAAUCGGAAUUACUGGGCGUAAAGCGCACGCAGGCGGUUUGUUAAGUCAGAUGUGAAAUCCCCGGGCUCAACCUGGGAACUGCAUCUGAUACUGGCAAGCUUGAGUCUCGCAGAGGGGGGUAGAAUUCCAGGUGUAGCGGUGAAAUGCGUAGAGAUCUGGAGGAAUACCGGUGGCGAAGGCGGCCCCCUGGACGAAGACUGACGCUCAGGUGCGAAAGCGUGGGGAGCAAACAGGAUUAGAUACCCCCGUACUC
This 464-nucleotide ribosomal RNA is filed under the name uncultured bacterium. RNAcentral describes it as "partial 16S ribosomal RNA". It matches the Rfam family "Bacterial small subunit ribosomal RNA", at positions 339 to 795 of the family's 1533-position model. The record is from RNAcentral.